RNAcentral lists this ribosomal RNA (840 nucleotides) under Pseudomonas sp. Z09(2010). Its description in RNAcentral is "bacterial SSU rRNA". It matches the Rfam family "Bacterial small subunit ribosomal RNA", at positions 118 to 953 of the family's 1533-position model. Lineage: Bacteria; Pseudomonadati; Pseudomonadota; Gammaproteobacteria; Pseudomonadales; Pseudomonadaceae. The record is from RNAcentral.
UAGGAAUCUGCCUGGUAGUGGGGGAUAACGUCCGGAAACGGGCGCUAAUACCGCAUACGUCCUACGGGAGAAAGCAGGGGACCUUCGGGCCUUGCGCUAUCAGAUGAGCCUAGGUCGGAUUAGCUAGUUGGUGAGGUAAUGGCUCACCAAGGCGACGAUCCGUAACUGGUCUGAGAGGAUGAUCAGUCACACUGGAACUGAGACACGGUCCAGACUCCUACGGGAGGCAGCAGUGGGGAAUAUUGGACAAUGGGCGAAAGCCUGAUCCAGCCAUGCCGCGUGUGUGAAGAAGGUCUUCGGAUUGUAAAGCACUUUAAGUUGGGAGGAAGGGCAUUAACCUAAUACGUUAGUGUUUUGACGUUACCGACAGAAUAAGCACCGGCUAACUUCGUGCCAGCAGCCGCGGUAAUACGAAGGGUGCAAGCGUUAAUCGGAAUUACUGGGCGUAAAGCGCGCGUAGGUGGUUCGUUAAGUUGGAUGUGAAAGCCCCGGGCUCAACCUGGGAACUGCAUCCAAAACUGGCGAGCUAGAGUACGGUAGAGGGUGGUGGAAUUUCCUGUGUAGCGGUGAAAUGCGUAGAUAUAGGAAGGAACACCAGUGGCGAAGGCGACCACCUGGACUGAUACUGACACUGUGGUGCGAAAGCGUGGGGAGCAAACAGGAUUAGAUACCCUGGUAGUCCACGCCGUAAACGAUGUCAACUAGCCGUUGGGUUCCUUGAGAACUUAGUGGCGCAGCUAACGCAUUAAGUUGACCGCCUGGGGAGUACGGCCGCAAGGUUAAAACUCAAAUGAAUUGACGGGGGCCCGCACAAGCGGUGGGAGCAUGUGGUUUAAUUCG